AACGAACGCUGGCGGCAUGCCUAACACAUGCAAGUCGAACGAGACCUUCGGGUCUAGUGGCGCACGGGUGCGUAACGCGUGGGAACCUGCCCUUAGGUUCGGAAUAACUCCCCGAAAGGGGUGCUAAUACCGGAUAAUGUCUUCUGACCAAAGAUUUAUCGCCUUUGGUUGUGCCCGCGUUGGAUUAGCUAGUUGGUAGGGUAAAAGCCUACAAAGGCGACGAUUCAUAGCUGGUCUGAGAGGAUGAUCAGCAACACUGGGACUGAGACACGGCCCAGACUCCUACGGGAGGCAGCAGGGGGGAAGAUGGGACAAUGGGCGAAAGCCUGAGCCAGCAAGGCCGCGAGAGUGAUGAAGGCGUUAGGGUUGUAAAGCUCUUUUACCCGGGAUGAUAAUGACAGUACCGGGAGAAUAAGCUCCGGCUAACUCCGG
RNAcentral lists this ribosomal RNA (432 nucleotides) under uncultured bacterium. Its description in RNAcentral is "partial 16S ribosomal RNA". It matches the Rfam family "Bacterial small subunit ribosomal RNA", at positions 29 to 506 of the family's 1533-position model. The record is from RNAcentral.